GACGAACGCUGGCGGCGUGCUUAACACAUGCGAGUCGAACGGAAAGGCCCUGCUUUUGUGGGGUGCUCGAGUGGCGAACGGGUGAGUAACACGUGAGUAACCUGCCCUUGACUUUGGGAUAACUUCAGGAAACUGGGGCUAAUACCGGAUAGGAGCUCCUGCUGCAUGGUGGGGGUUGGAAAGUUUCGGCGGUUGGGGAUGGACUCGCGGCUUAUCAGCUUGUUGGUGGGGUAGUGGCUUACCAAGGCUUUGACGGGUAGCCGGCCUGAGAGGGUGACCGGCCACAUUGGGACUGAGAUACGGCCCAGACUCCUACGGGAGGCAGCAGUGGGGAAUAUUGCACAAUGGGCGGAAGCCUGAUGCAGCAACGCCGCGUGCGGGAUGACGGCCUUCGGGUUGUAAACCGCUUUCGCCUGUGACGAAGCGUGAGUGACGGUAAUGGGUAAAGAAGCACCGGCUAAUUACGUG
This 468-nucleotide ribosomal RNA is filed under the name uncultured bacterium. RNAcentral describes it as "partial 16S ribosomal RNA". It matches the Rfam family "Bacterial small subunit ribosomal RNA", at positions 28 to 507 of the family's 1533-position model. The record is from RNAcentral.